AUUGAACGCUGGCGGCAGGCUUAACACAUGCAAGUCGAGCGGUAACAGAGAGAAGCUUGCUUCUCUGCUGACGAGCGGCGGACGGGUGAGUAAUGCCUAGGAAUCUGCCUAGUAGUGGGGGAUAACUUGCCGAAAGGUAAGCUAAUACCGCAUACGUCCUACGGGAGAAAGGAGGGGACCUUCGGGCCUUUCGCUAUUAGAUGAGCCUAGGUCGGAUUAGUUAGUUGGUGAGGUAAUGGCUCACCAAGACCGCGAUCCGUAACUGGUCUGAGGGGAUGAUCAGUCCAACUGGAACUGAGACACGGUCCAGACUCCUACGGGAGGCAGCAGUGGGGAAUAUUGGACAAUGGGGGGAACCCUGAUCCAGCCAUGCCGCGUGUGUGAAGAAGGUCUUAGGAUUGUAAAGCACUUUAAGUUGGGAGGAAGAGCAGUUAACUAAUAUUUGACUGUUUUGACGUUACCGACAGAAUAAGCACCGGCUAACCUCGUGCCAGCAGCCGCAGUAA
Molecule: ribosomal RNA, 506 nt
Filed under: uncultured bacterium
Lineage: Bacteria
Description: partial 16S ribosomal RNA
Rfam family: Bacterial small subunit ribosomal RNA
Source: RNAcentral